RNAcentral lists this ribosomal RNA (301 nucleotides) under uncultured bacterium. RNAcentral's name for it is "partial 16S ribosomal RNA". It matches the Rfam family "Bacterial small subunit ribosomal RNA", at positions 509 to 807 of the family's 1533-position model. The record is from RNAcentral.
CAGUAGCCGCGGGAAUACGUAGGGUGCAAGCGUUAAUCGGAAUUACUGGGCGUAAAGGGCUCGCAGGCGGUUUCUUAAGUCUGAUGUGAAAGCCCCCGGCUCAACCGGGGAGGGUCAUUGGAAACUGGGAAACUUGAGUGCAGAAGAGGAGAGUGGAAUUCCACGUGUAGCGGUGAAAUGCGUAGAGAUGUGGAGGAACACCAGUGGCGAAGGCGACUCUCUGGUCUGUAACUGACGCUGAGGAGCGAAAGCGUGGGGAGCGAACAGGAUUAGAUACCCCAGUAGUCCCUGUCUCUUAUAC